RNAcentral lists this ribosomal RNA (254 nucleotides) under uncultured bacterium. Its description in RNAcentral is "partial 16S ribosomal RNA". It matches the Rfam family "Bacterial small subunit ribosomal RNA", at positions 524 to 776 of the family's 1533-position model. The record is from RNAcentral.
UACGGGGGGAGCAAGCGUUGUUCGGAUUUACUGGGCGUAAAGGGCGCGUAGGCGGUCAGCACAAGUCAGUUGUGAAAUCUCCGAGCUUAACUCGGAAAGGUCAACUGAUACUGUGCGACUAGAGUGCAGAAGGGGCAACUGGAAUUCUCGGUGUAGCGGUGAAAUGCGUAGAUAUCGAGAGGAACACCUGCGGCGAAGGCGACUACCUGGCCUGUUCUUGACGCUGAGGCGCGAAAGCUAGGGGAGCAAACGGG